CGGAGGGUGCAAGCGUUAUCCGGAUUCACUGGGUUUAAAGGGAGCGCAGGCGGAUCAGUAAGUCAGUGGUGAAAUACCCGUGCUUAACAUGGGAACUGCCAUUGAUACUAUUGGUCUUGAAUAUCGUUGAGGUUUGCGGAAUGGGUCAUGUAGCGGUGAAAUGCAUAGAUAUGACCCGGAACACCUAUUGCGAAGGCAGCAGGCUAAGCGAAGAUUGACGCUGAGGCUCGAAAGCGUGGGGAUCAAACAGGAUUAGAUACCCUGGUAGUCCACGCCCUAAACGAUGAUUACCCGACAUACGCGAUAUACAGUGUGUGUCUGAGCGAAAGCAUUAAGUAAUCCACCUGGGAAGUACGACCGCAAGGUUG
Molecule: ribosomal RNA, 368 nt
Filed under: uncultured organism
Description: bacterial SSU rRNA
Rfam family: Bacterial small subunit ribosomal RNA
Source: RNAcentral